This 253-nucleotide ribosomal RNA is filed under the name uncultured bacterium. RNAcentral describes it as "partial 16S ribosomal RNA". It matches the Rfam family "Bacterial small subunit ribosomal RNA", at positions 524 to 776 of the family's 1533-position model. The record is from RNAcentral.
UACGUAGGGUGCGAGCGUUAAUCGGAAUUACUGGGCGUAAAGCGUGCGCAGGCGGCUUCGCAAGUCAGGCGUGAAAUCCCCGGGCUUAACCUGGGAAUUGCGCUUGAGACUGGCACGCUCGAGUUCGGGAGAGGAUGGUGGAAUUCCCAGUGUAGAGGUGAAAUUCGUAGAUAUUGGGAAGAACACCGAUGGCGAAGGCAGCCAUCUGGACCGACACUGACGCUGAGGCGCGAAAGCGUGGGGAGCAAACAGG